This 313-nucleotide ribosomal RNA is filed under the name uncultured fungus. RNAcentral describes it as "SSU rRNA". It matches the Rfam family "Eukaryotic small subunit ribosomal RNA", at positions 1344 to 1680 of the family's 1831-position model. The record is from RNAcentral. Lineage: Eukaryota; Fungi.
UAACCUGCUAACUAGUCCACGGGUCCUCACGAAACGUGUGACUUCUUAGAGGGACUAUCGGCGAUUAGCCGAUGGAAGUUUGAGGCAAUAACAGGUCUGUGAUGCCCUUAGAUGUCCUGGGCCGCACGCGCGCUACACUGACCAAGUCAACGAGUAACACCUUGGUUGAGAUACCUGGGUAAUCUUUUGAAACUUGGUCGUGCUGGGGAUAGUCCAUUGCAAUUGUUGGACUUCAACGAGGAAUUCCUAGUAAGCGCAAGUCAUCAGCUUGCGUUGAUUACGUCCCUGCCCUUUGUACACACCGCCCGUCGCU